Molecule: ribosomal RNA, 497 nt
Filed under: uncultured bacterium
Lineage: Bacteria
Description: partial 16S ribosomal RNA
Rfam family: Bacterial small subunit ribosomal RNA
Source: RNAcentral
GAUGAACGCUGGCGGCGUGCCUAAUACAUGCAAGUCGAGCGAACGGACGAGAAGCUUGCUUCUCUGAUGUUAGCGGCGGACGGGUGAGUAACACGUGGAUAACCUACCUACAAGACUGGGAUAACUUCGGGAAACCGGAGCUAAUUCCGGAUAAUAUUUUGAACCGCAUGGUUCAAAAGUGAAAGACGGUCUUGCUGUCACUUAUAGAUGGAUCCGCGCUGCAUUAGCUAGUUGGUAAGGUAACGGCUUACCAAGGCAACGAUGCAUAGCCGACCUGAGAGGGUGAUCGGCCACACUGGAACUGAGACACGGUCCAGACUCCUACGGGAGGCAGCAGUAGGGAAUCUUCCGCAAUGGGCGAAAGCCUGACGGAGCAACGCCGCGUGAGUGAUGAAGGUCUUCGGAUCGUAAAACUCUGUUAUUAGGGAAGAACAUAUGUGUAAGUAACUGUGCACAUCUUGACGGUACCUAAUCAGAAAGCCACGGCUAACUACGUG